CAGUAGCCGCGGUAAUACGUAGGGUGCGAGCGUUAAUCGGAAUUACUGGGCGUAAAGCGUGCGCAGGCGGUCCGCUAAGACAGAUGUGAAAUCCCCGGGCUUAACCUGGGAACUGCAUUUGUGACUGGCGGGCUAGAGUAUGGCAGAGGGGGGUAGAAUUCCACGUGUAGCAGUGAAAUGCGUAGAGAUGUGGAGGAAUACCGAUGGCGAAGGCAGCCCCCUGGGCCAAUACUGACGCUCAUGCACGAAAGCGUGGGGAGCAAACAGGAUUAGAUACCCGCGUAGUCCCUGUCUCUUAUAC
Molecule: ribosomal RNA, 301 nt
Filed under: uncultured bacterium
Lineage: Bacteria
Description: partial 16S ribosomal RNA
Rfam family: Bacterial small subunit ribosomal RNA
Source: RNAcentral